UCUUUUUUCUUUUUUUUUUUAUGUUUAAGAUGAUGAAACAACCUCAAAUAUUUUGGCAGUUUUUUUUUUAUUAUUACUUUUUUUGGUGUGUUGAGGGGUUGUCUUUAGUUAUACAAAGCAUUAAGCUUAAGUUACCCCUUUAAGCAGAAAAGUGCCUGGUUAUCUUUAGACUUAAUAGCAUUGAAGGGGCAAAAAGGAAUGUGAACUACUCCAGGUAUGCAUUAAAAUUUGUCUUUCUUUCUUAUACAAUUGCCAGACACUGUAGCAUGUUUACCAGGUCUUCUUUCACCCUGUGGUAGUUCAUUAACAAACAAACAAACAAACAAACAAACAACCUUCCAAAGCCCUUCUGUUUCUGUCUCUUGGAAAGUAUUCUUACAAAUAAGAAUAAUUAUAACUUAAACUUGUUCAGGGAUUUGUCACAAUUUAACUAUACUUUAUCUUGAUCUUUUAAAACAAAAUUUUUAUUUUUAUUGUGUGUGAGUGUAUGCCUGUGGUGGGCCACAACAUGCUUGUGGAGGACAACCUUUAUUGCUCUCCCUAGACAAUGUGGGUCCUCAGGAUUGACUCAGGCCAUCAGACUCAAUGCUUAGCUGUAAGACAAGCUCUGUAGUCUGCUGAGCCAUCCUGCCAACCCUAGUCUUGGUUAUUAAUGUUAUCCUAAUGCAGCACACCCUAACUUGUACAUAAUUCACAAAUGAUUUUAAUUAAAUAAAACCUCACUUGGUAUCACUUGACUUUUAAGUUUGUUUUCUGUUUAUAGAAUCUGUUAACUCUCACUCCUUCCAGUUCGUCCCUCUAAGAGACCUUUUAAAAUAGAGUGUGUUUGAAGAGUAGAGGGAAAGGUUUCAGAUUGAUUCUAUGUUAGAUUCCGAGCUGAAAACAGCCUUAUGAGUUGCAGGUUGAUAUAAAAUGAUAACUAUCUACAAAGACUGAUAUUUUUGGUGUAUUUUAUAGAUGUAAUGUUUUGUAUCCUGUAACAGCUUCAUGUAUACCUACCUAUCCUUUGUGAGAGGAGUACUGUCCCACCAUUGUUUUGAGACAGUGCCUCUCACUGGCUUGUAACUGGACCAAAUAAACCAGUGAGAUUGGCCAUGGGUUCCACGUAUCUGCUUCUCCCCACCUUUGAAGGAGCAAGUUUAUAAGUGUGGACCACUAGUUCUAGCCUUUUUC
RNAcentral lists this long non-coding RNA (1173 nucleotides) under Mus musculus (house mouse). RNAcentral's name for it is "long non-coding RNA chr8:41264024-41265197". Lineage: Eukaryota; Metazoa; Chordata; Mammalia; Rodentia; Muridae. The record is from RNAcentral.